Molecule: ribosomal RNA, 438 nt
Filed under: uncultured soil bacterium
Lineage: Bacteria
Description: bacterial SSU rRNA
Rfam family: Bacterial small subunit ribosomal RNA
Source: RNAcentral
AGAUUGAACGCUAGCGGGAUGCUUUACACAUGCAAGUCGAACGGCAGCGCGGACUUCGGUCUGGCGGCGAGUGGCGAACGGGUGAGUAAUAUAUCGGAACGUGCCCAGUAGCGGGGGUAUAACUACGCGAAAGCGUGGCUAAUACCGCAUACGCCCUACGGGGGAAAGGGGGGGAUCGCAAGACCUCUCACUAUUGGAGCGGCCGAUAUCAGAUUAGCUAGUUGGUGAGGUAAAGGCUCACCAAGGCGACGAUCUGUAGCUGGUUUGAGAGGACGACCAGCCACACUGGGACUGAGACACGGCCCAGACUCCGUACGGGAGGCAGCAGUGGGAAUUUGGACAAGUGGGGAAACCCUGAUCCAGCCAUCCCGCGUGUGCGAUGAAGGCCUUGGGUUAGUAAGCUACUUUGGCGAGGAAGAAACGGACGUCGACCCGUAA